UGGCGAGAGAAAAGGCAAACAGAGAAACUAACCUACUCGGCGCCGACAAAAAGAAUACGCUACUUCAGAUUGGAAAUGGUCGGAGGCAUCGAAGAAAGGAAAGACAUUGGUGGAUUAGCUUGCUUGACUUCAAUUCUUCGGUUGAGCGAGUAUUCCAUCGACUUCGACUCGACCUUAGCUCUAGCUAGUGUCAAGCACAUCAGGUUCCAGGGUGAG
This is a long non-coding RNA of Solanum dulcamara, 216 nucleotides long. RefSeq lists it as uncharacterized. The transcript is spliced from 3 exons. NCBI's taxonomy places the organism in Eukaryota, Viridiplantae, Streptophyta, Magnoliopsida, Solanales, Solanaceae. The record is from RefSeq and is a predicted model, not a curated record.